GGACGAACGCUGGCGGCGUGCCUAAUACAUGCAAGUUGAGCGAUGAAGAUUGGUGCUUGCCCCAAUUUGAAGAGCAGCGAACGGGUGAGUAACGCGUGGGGAAUCUGCCUUUGAGCGGGGGACAACAUUUGGAAACGAAUGCUAAUACCGCAUAACAACUUUAAACAUAAGUUUUAAGUUUGAAAGAUGCAAUUGCAUCACUCAAAGAUGAUCCCGCGUUGUAUUAGCUAGUUGGUGAGGUAAAGGCUCACCAAGGCGAUGAUACAUAGCCGACCUGAGAGGGUGAUCGGCCACAUUGGGACUGAGACACGGCCCAAACUCCUACGGGAGGCAGCAGUAGGGAAUCUUCGGCAAUGGACGAAAGUCUGACCGAGCAACGCCGCGGGAGUGAAGAAGGUUUUCGGAUCGUAAAACUCUGUUGGUAGAGAAGAACGUUGGUGAGAGUGGAAAGCUCAUCAAGUGACGGUAACUACCCAGAAAGGGACGGCUAACUACGUG
This 498-nucleotide ribosomal RNA is filed under the name uncultured bacterium. RNAcentral's name for it is "partial 16S ribosomal RNA". It matches the Rfam family "Bacterial small subunit ribosomal RNA", at positions 27 to 507 of the family's 1533-position model. The record is from RNAcentral.